UGAAUGGUGGUGAUGGAUGGUGGAGAUGGAGGAUGGAGAUGGAGGGUGGAUGAAGGGUGGAGAUGGAAGGUGGUGAUGGAGGGUGGUGAUAGACGGUGGAGAUGGAGGGUGGAGAUGGUGGGUGGUGAUGGAGGGUGGGGAUAAAUGGUGGUAAUGGACAGUAGAGAUGGACGGUGGAAAUGGAGGAUGGUGAUGGUUGUACAACAAUGUGAAUGCACUUGAUGUCACUCAACUGUUCACUUAAAAAUGGCAAACAUAGUAGUUUUUAUGUUACAUAUAUUUUACUACAAUAAAAAAAGAAUGAAAAGCCUAUAAAAUUCUGAAAAAUAAAAAAGGGGGCUUUAGCCCUGCCAGAGAGUAGAAUCCAUCAUAGAACAUCUUGCUAUGGGCAGUUGACUGGACACACACAUCAGAGCAGGUCUGUGUGAUCAUUUAGCAUAUGAUUAAUGGGGCAUUUAAAAUCCACGAGGGGCCGGGCGCAGUGGCUCACGCCCGUAAUCCCAGCACUUUGGGAGGCCGAGGCGGGUGGAUCACCUGAGGUCAGCAGUUCGAGACCAGCCUAACUAACAUGGGGAAACCCUGUCUCUACUAAAAAUACAAAAAAUAGCUGGGCAUGGUGGUGGGUGGCUGUAAUCCCAGCUACUGAGGUGGCUGAGGUGGGAGAAUCACUUGAACCUGGAAGCGGAGGUUGCAGUGAGCCAAGAUCGUGCCACUUCUCUCCAGCCUGAGCAACAAAGCGAGACUCUGUCUCAAAAAAUAAAUUAAUUAAUAAAUAAAUAAAUCCAUGAGGGAAAGGAUGUCAUUUAAAAAAGGGUGUGGCCAGGCACGGUGGCUCAUGCCUAUAACCAGCACUUUGGAGGCCGAGGCAGGUGGAUCACCUGAGGUCAGGAGUUUGAGACUGGCCUGGCCAGCAUGGUGAAACUCUGUCUCUACUAAAAAAAAAGGACAAAAUUAGCUGGAUGUGGUGGCGCAUGCCUGUAAUCCCAGCUACUUGGGAGGCUGAGGCAGGAGAAUCGCUUGAACCUGGGAGGCAGAGAUUGCAGUGAGCCUAGAUUACG
This 1058-nucleotide long non-coding RNA is filed under the name Homo sapiens (human). Its description in RNAcentral is "HSALNT0379571". The record is from RNAcentral. Lineage: Eukaryota; Metazoa; Chordata; Mammalia; Primates; Hominidae.